RNAcentral lists this ribosomal RNA (429 nucleotides) under Chloroflexota bacterium. RNAcentral's name for it is "Chloroflexi bacterium partial 16S ribosomal RNA". It matches the Rfam family "Bacterial small subunit ribosomal RNA", at positions 355 to 776 of the family's 1533-position model. The record is from RNAcentral. Lineage: Bacteria; Bacillati; Chloroflexota.
UGGGGAAUAUUGCACAAUGGGCGCAAGCCUGAUGCAGCCAUGCCGCGUGUGUGAAGAAGGCCUUCGGGUUGUAAAGCACUUUCAGCGGGGAGGAAGGCGUUAAGGUUAAUAACCUUGGCGAUUGACGUUACCCGCAGAAGAAGCACCGGCUAACUCCGUGCCAGCAGCCGCGGUAAUACGGAGGGUGCAAGCGUUAAUCGGAAUUACUGGGCGUAAAGCGCACGCAGGCGGUCUGUCAAGUAGGAUGUGAAAUCCCCGGGCUCAACCUGGGAACUGCAUUCGAAACUGGCAGGAGAGAGUCGUGUAGAGGGGGGUAGAAGUCCAGGUGUAGCGGUGAAAUGCGUAGAGAUCUGGAGGAAGACCGGUGGCGAAGGCGGCCCCCUGGACAAAGACUGACGAUCAGGUGCGAAAGAGUGGGGAGCAAACAGG